This 219-nucleotide long non-coding RNA is filed under the name Elaeis guineensis (African oil palm). RNAcentral's name for it is "long non-coding RNA (EGUI_LNC040607)". Lineage: Eukaryota; Viridiplantae; Streptophyta; Magnoliopsida; Arecales; Arecaceae. The record is from RNAcentral.
UUAUGGACCAUGAUUCUCCAUAACAAUUAUCAGUAAACAAGAUAAUGUAUUCUUCUCUCUCUAUAAAAUGAAAACAUAGAGGAUCCUUUGGUAAAUUUUUUUUGAAACUAGAAAAGUACUCUCCUACUAAUUCUUCCUCAAUAUUUUCAAAGCUCUGACUAACUUAAGUAUUGAAGGGUCCUUUAUCACAAAAUCUCUAAUGAUUGAACUUUUCUCGCC